Schistocerca nitens (vagrant locust) is the source of this 2090-nucleotide long non-coding RNA. RefSeq lists it as uncharacterized. NCBI's taxonomy places the organism in Eukaryota, Metazoa, Arthropoda, Insecta, Orthoptera, Acrididae. The transcript is spliced from 8 exons. The record is from RefSeq and is a predicted model, not a curated record.
UGUAAUUGCAGUACUUAACCUACUCUUCUUUUACAGAGAGUAAUGUAACAUUUAUUGACAUUAUCUGUUGGUGUAAUGACACCAUUUGCCCUAAUGACUUAGUAAUAAAAUUAUUACUGUUAAAUUAUCCUUCAGGUAUGUCACAUGGAGCACUUAACUGAACAAACUUCGUUCUCAGCUAGAGUUUGAUGCAAGCUAUCGAACUGUUCACCAUUCCACCGCCUUACAGAACCACCCACUGUAACUGUUUUGAAGCCAUAGUUGCUUGCACCAUUCUCCCAGAGGUGGACUUGGGGAUGUAUUUGGGGGAGGAGUGAAACAGUCGGUCAGAACUAGUCGUACAGCAAAAAUUUGAGGGAGCCAUCUGGAGGUGGCAUUGAGGCAGCAACAACAUACAUCACAACCUGUCCGUGGAAAUGGCAUGGCAAGCCGUUCCACAGGACUACAUCCAGCAUCUCUACGAUCGUCUCCAUAGGAGAAUAGCAGCCUGCAUUGCUGCGAAAGUUGGAUAUACACUGUACUAGUGCCGACAUUGUGCAUGCUCUGUUGCCUGUGUCUAUGUGCCUGUGGUUCUGUCAGUGUGAUCAUGUGAUGUAUCUGACCCCAGGAAUGUGUCAAUAAAGUUUCCCCUUCCUGGGACAAUGAAUUCACGGUGUUCUUAUUUCAAUUUCCAGGAGUGUACAUCACAACCUGUCCGUGAUGCGUCCGGCGCCAUCACCACAUACAGUUAAAUUGUUGGCUACCCUCACCACAUGUGGGGGUAUCAGCGACUCCGUAGCAGCAUCCGGGCCCUUCGUGGACGCCGUCCAUGUGUGCUGGACCAUCACAGGUGCAUUGGUCAUACAAUUUUGAUGCAAAAGUGAACCUGAAAACAUGAUAAAAUGUGGACGCCUCUGGAGAAAGCUCAGUGUGUGUGGCCCGGUAGAUACAGACGAUACCUGAUGCCCAAAUGCAACGAACCUUUCAGACUUGGAAUACAUCAUUUAUGGAAACAGAAUUUUGCAGAUGGAACCAAGGGUAGACAGUGGCCUCUGAGCUGUUUCUUUACUUACUUCUGUGCCUUUGUUGAAUUACAGUAUCAUGGUGAAAGUUCGUCAUGCAAUUUUGAUGCGAAAUGGAACCUGAAAAUCUGAAAAAAUGUGGAUGCUACUGGAUAAAGCUCAAUGUGUGUGACCUGGUAGAUACAGACGGUACCUGAUACUCAAAUGCAAUGAUACUUUCGGACUUGGAAUACAUCAUUUAUGGAAACAGGCAGAGUUCUCCAUAAAAAGUGGCUGGUCACCCAUGAGUUUCAGAUUCCAAUGUGGACAGGGUACGGCAGGUGUUCGCAAGGAGUUCUAUAAAAUCGGCAUGUAUGGCAGCCAGAGCGUUGGAAAUGAGAAGAUCGACAUUGCACAAUGUCAUGCAUAAGAGGUCAUACAAUUUUGAUGCAAAAGUGAACCUGAAAACAUGAUAAAAUGUGGACGCCUCUGGAGAAAGCUCAGUGUGUGUGGCCCGGUAGACACAGACGAUACCUGAUGCCCAAAUGCAACGAACCUUUCAGACUUGGAAUACAUCAUUUAUGGAAACAGGUCAUGCAAUUUUGAUGCGAAAUGGAACCUGAAAACCUGAAAAAAUGUGGAUGCUACUGGAUAAAGCUCAAUGUGUGUGACCUGGUAAAUACAGACGAUACCUGAUACUCAAAUGCAAUGAUCGUUUCGGACUUGGAAUACAUCAUUUAUGGAAACAGGCAGAGUACUCCAUAAAAAGGCUCUGGUCACCCAUCGGUUUCAGAUUCCAAUGUGGACAGGGUACGGCAGGUGUUCGCAAGGAGUUCUAUAAAAUCGGCAUGUAUGGCAGCCAGAGCGUUGGAAAUGAGAAGAUCGACAUUGCACAAUGUCAUGCAUAAGAGUACUCAAGACAUUUACAGUGGGGUGUGCAAUUGAGAACAGUUCUCCAUCUACCCCUCAGUGCUCACCAGAAUUAUCCAAAGUGGGGCACUAUGCCACUUCCAAGAAGCAGGCCAAAGAUGUCCUGGUAAGCAGCACAUUGUCAAUGCUGCGAGGCAAACAAACAGCAAUGAGGAUGGCAAGUUGAGCCAAUAUGUUGCA